AGAUACCCGGGUAGUCCACGCCGUAAACGAUGACAACUAGCUGUUGGGAGACAAAGUCUUUCAGUGGCGCAGCUAACGCUUUAAGUUGUCCGCCUGGGGAGUACGGCCGCAAGGCUAAAACUCAAAUGAAUUGACGGGGACCCGCACAAGCGGUGGAGCAUGUGGUUUAAUUCGAUGCAACGCGAAAAACCUUACCUACUCUUGACAUACUUGGGAGCUCUUGUAAUGAGAGUGUGCCUUAUGGAACCAAGAUACAGGUGCUGCAUGGCCGCCGUCAG
This 278-nucleotide ribosomal RNA is filed under the name uncultured bacterium. Its description in RNAcentral is "partial 16S ribosomal RNA". It matches the Rfam family "Bacterial small subunit ribosomal RNA", at positions 780 to 1058 of the family's 1533-position model. The record is from RNAcentral.